Anas platyrhynchos (mallard) is the source of this 1146-nucleotide non-coding RNA. The record is from RefSeq and is a predicted model, not a curated record. NCBI's taxonomy places the organism in Eukaryota, Metazoa, Chordata, Aves, Anseriformes, Anatidae.
ACACAACGCAAGCGGUCCCUUACGACAAAGGAAAGCAAAGUGCACUCCCUUUUAACACGAUCACCGCGAGGCAGAGCAGCGUGCUAAGUACCAGCGCUCUGUAGCUCCUCAGUCUGCCUCUCUCAACAAGCCCCUUCUGUGCUGCCCAUGGAUUCAUCUCGAGAUAACAUUCUUCAGCAUAAGGACAACCUGCUGAUGGACACACGCAAUUAGUAGCCUGCUGACAGGCGCCCUUUCAGCCUCUCUGUGGCCCCUUUUACUCAGGUGAAGCUGGCAGAGCGAUCGAGCCACCCAUCCUUUGUUACAGCUCUAUAAAGUGGAGGAAAUAAUUCAAGAAGUCUUAAAGGGAAGCCGCGGGUUAGAAGGAAAAAUUGUGACAGCUAUUCCAUAACUGAGGAAGAAGAAACAUUUUAUCACUGUUGAAAUGGUUCCCACCACCAAAUCAAUAAGUGCUUGAGCUUUUUAUGAUUCUCCUUAGCACAGCCUUUUGAAAGCACGACCGUGAUGCAGACAACGUGCAGAUGAUGCAGAGGGCACAAGGCGGCUGGGACGAUGUGACUGCUCCCCUCGGCCUGCUGGUGUCCUGCAAGGCACAGAGAGCACACUGCACCCAGCCACCAGAUCCCAGAGCAGCCUAAUUACGUGACCUUACCACAAGGUUCAACCCCCUGGGCGGGAGGAAAGGAAAUCCUUUCAGACACAGCACGUCGGAGCUUCUUGAGAUCUUUCCCCUUUACUCAUGCCUCAGCCCCACUGCUCUCACACAUGGGCCAUGGCCUUCUGUAAUCGUGUUCCAAGCCGAACUGAAAGCAAAGUGAUCCUAGCACAUUUGGGCACGGAUCAAACAAAACGGUGUAAUGUGGUUGCAGGACAGACCACAGAUACAUUAUACCACCCUCUUCCACCCACAGCCACAGCUCCCUAAUAAAACUCAGAGAAAUCCCUGCCCUUGGGUACUGCACAUUCACACACCUGGGUCCAGAGACAAAGCUCAGGGCACAUCCGACCCCAUUUCCUUCAGCACUUGAGACCUGACCUUGACCAUCCAUUUGGCAGAGGGCGUGUGGCGUUCAGAAGCUGCUCCCCCCAGCGUCCAGGCCUUUCCCUCUGCUCACAAACACAUUACACAGAGCAGCCCAAGCUCAC